Molecule: long non-coding RNA, 2632 nt
Organism: Astyanax mexicanus (Mexican tetra)
Lineage: Eukaryota; Metazoa; Chordata; Actinopteri; Characiformes; Acestrorhamphidae
Exons: 4
Source: RefSeq, a predicted model, not a curated record
CAGCGACGGUCUUGCGGUCGUCUCGCUUUUCGCGUUUCUCCGCGGUCGCGAAGCUGACGGCCAGACCUUACGCUGGUGGGCUCCUUAAAAUUCAGCCUAAAAUAGCUUUUAGAUUGACUGUAGCUUCGUUUUGAAGACGAACCCAGAGCAGAUGUGGAAUUACUGAAAUGUAUACGAUUGUAGAGAUGGGCAGCUCGAGCUUCGUGGAGGUUUUGGUGCGUUUUGACAAAACAUAAUCUGUUUUUUGGCUGAUUUUGGACAUCUGGAGUAUUGCAGAAACAAAAGGAGCGUUUAUCCUGAAUCAUUGCACCCCACCUGAGACGCUGAAAGUCAAUGGCAAAAACACAAAGCAGUCACAUGACCACCAAACUUAGAUCCCCCACCCACCCGUGUUGUUAUUUGUUGGCAGGCGGCGCGGAGGACGAGCGAACGAACGCUGAUGGUAGCGGAUGGAGUAGGAGUUGGAGGAUGGAGAACGGAGUGAACUCGGGAGCAGGUGAACACAGCUGUGGACCGCCAUGGGCUCUCUCUCGCUCUCUCUCUCCUUUUUUCCCCCAUGGCUUCUCUGUUUCGGAGGUUCCGAGGAGACGGCAGGGGCCAGCCAGCGAGUGCUGGAGUGGGCAGGCAGAGGCGGGCUGCUGCGCCCGCCGGCUAGCGGCUCAGCGGCACCGAGGAGGGAGGGAAAUCGAUGCAGAGGAAAGAGGCUGCCAGGGGUCGCCCAAUGCAGCCUCCGGCCGCGGCGCCGUGGGAUUCCAAAACGCUCGCCUAUCCCUCGCCCUACCCACUCCCAGUCAACUCACAUCAGCCUGAGAGAGGGAGAGCGGGAGAGAGAGAAGGCCAGAAGCACCGAUGAUGAUGCUCCAUGAGAGAGAGAGAAUGUGUGUAAGAGUGUGUGCGAGCACACACAUGUGUGUGGUUCCGCCGGAGGGACUUUGCAGCCCCAGCACCACUUGAUAAAACUUUGUCUGUGAGGAGAACGAGUAGAAAAAGAGUGUCAAAGGUCUUUUUUUUUCUCCCCCACCCUCCUCGAUUCCUUUCUGCCGUGAGUGCACAUUCCCCGUGACUGUUUGAAUGAGCGCUUGACGGAGGAUCCCUCUCACUGUGAAUUGAGGAGGCCUUCUCAUUUUUUCAGACCCUCCUCCAAGCAUGUACAAAGUGCUCUACAUCAGAUGAGCUGGCAAGAGAGGACAACUUGAACUUUUCUCUUUUUUUCUUUAUUGGGAGGACAUUUUUUCACCUUUUCAGUUGCAGAUUAAAUUACAUGAUUUUUUUUAAAUACUCCAAACCCCUUGAGAGCGUCUGAAAAAGGCUUUAAAAAAGAAAGGGUUUUGAUCCACAUCAAGAGGCCUGGUUCUCCCUGGAACUGUUCCUGUAGUGCUAGAUUUUGAUAAGAUCACAUUUAGAGAGAAGGGGCAGCAUGGACAUCCCCAAGAAAAGGGAUGAACUUUAUGAAUAUUAGCUGCCUUCUACUAAUGUAGUGUGCCAUUUGGACUUAGGAAUGCUCCAGUUCUUCUCCGUUUCUUCUCCUUCAGUUUGCAUUUAAAAAGUGGAAUGAACUCGAAAGGCUAAUAAUGCUAAGGGUAAUAAUACCUGUCCUCGUGGAUGACCUAAGGACUGAUGCAUACCAGGAUGUGGCCCGACCCCUGCCAGCCAGCCUGCCAACCUGCCCAAGCAACUGGAUUCAAAUGGUGAUGUAAAUGCUGUCUAGAUCCACUUCCUUCAGCGUUUCUGACCUCAGACUGACCUCUGAACCUCUGUGAGAAGAAGAACAUGGUUUGGUGAUGAUAUUUCUCUGUGAAUAAUUAGAUUUAGAGUUUAAAUGCUGGGUAAGUAUUUGGCAGUAAAACAAGGUAAGUUUCUGGAUUAGUUGGAUCAUAAUGAAGCAGCUUUGGUGGUGGUGGACAUUUUAACCCAUAAGAGCCCAGUUCUGAAUAUUGAUACAAAAUCUGUUCAAAUUAAUUAAUUUUUUUACUGUGAUAAAGAGGGGACAUGACUGUUUUUAGGUGUUAAGUUUAAAAUUCAGAUAAAUGGUAACAUAGAUGGUACAACAAUGCUUUUAUUUUUAUUUUUUUCAAAAUACUGUUCUAGAAAUCAGGACAGAUCUAGUUCUAUGAUGCAUAAAACAUUUUUUAAAGCAAUUAAAGUGUUAAAAUAGUUUAAACAAAGCUGUAUAAGCAAAAACACAUUAAAAAACAUUAAUAAAAGGAGCUACUUCAUAGCUCCAGCUAUACCCCAGCACACCAAUCUACACUCAUAAAUAAGGUCAGAUUAACUAAAAAACAGAUUCACACACUGUCCUGUAGUGUUGUUCUCAGGAUGUUCAGUAGAGGUCACUUAGAUGUCACUCAUAUGUUAAAGUGAAGGCCUGACAGAGUGCUUUAAGGAACUUUACACAUUUUUUUAAAGGGUCUUUGACACAUACUUCACCAUGGGUUCUUUUGGGUUAAUAUUAUUCCAUAAUAAUGGUCAUUUCUAAUGAUAAUUUCAUGUUUAGUCCUCAGUUUAUAACAUGCAUUUUUUGUUUAAAUAUUUGUAUUAUACAUGAUAUAUACAAUGAGUUUAAUGCUGUGUAUCAGAUGUACACAAAAUGUAUUUAAAAAUGACUGAAAAAUAAAAGUGAACACUGAAUUUA